Molecule: long non-coding RNA, 1700 nt
Organism: Strigops habroptila (Kakapo)
Lineage: Eukaryota; Metazoa; Chordata; Aves; Psittaciformes; Psittacidae
Source: Ensembl
UUUGCUAUGCAAUGCAGCAGAAUCUUUAUUAAAAAUUGUUUGUAUAGCUACAAACACUUCCAAAUAAAAUUGUUAUACCUCUGGGGUGUGACCUGCAUAGCAUUUUAGUUCCAUUUCCUUUACAUCUGAUAUGUAUUGUAUCAGAGCACUUGAAUGCUACACCUUAAUGAUCAAAUACUUACUACAUACAGGAGUUCACAGAAUAAUACAGUACUGUUUUCCAGGCAGCAGUGAGGUACUGCUUAACACCAGACUCAGAAGGGAAACUUCUGCAGCUUCCUUAGCUGAUAAAAGAAUUGGUUUUGGUUUAAAACUGUUCUUUCAUGAGAUCUGAUAACAGCACUGGUUAUCAGGAACAGAAUGUUUUAAGAAAGUAAAAAAAAAACCCAACAAAACAAACACCAAAACAAAACACCCUAAUCAAAAGUAAUAUAUUAACACUGACCAAUGAUAUUUUGUACCAGCAAAGGACAACAGGACACAGAGAAUGCUCUCACUGUGUUCUUCAACUAUAUAAUCACAGGAAUAAGUUUGCGUGUCAGCUGUCAGUUCCUAAGUAAAAUGGGUAUUUCCAAACAUUCUAGUUUUGCUAUUCUCAACAUUCUUGUCCUGUUUUCCUAAUUAAAACCUCACGCACUAAAAUACUUCAUCGCAUUCUCUUCCUGUGUUUUUGAGUUGUUUACGGGGGUUUGUUUGUUUUCUGUUUGGGUUGGUUGGGGUUUUUUUGUAUUAAUUUGCUGUCUGUUAAGUUUCUGUCUUUAGGAAGUAAAUAAAUGCAUUAACAGUUACAUAGGUACCUAUCAUCUGCCAUCUCACUUAACAGGUAAGAAAGCUAGGAUCACCUUUAGGGGUGGAGAAACUGAGGCAAAGAAAGGACUGACAUUCUUGUCACUGAUCUGUGUGCCACUGGUGAAAACCAGGAUUCUGUAUUUCUCGAACUUAAAAUUCUGCCAUAUAUUCUUUCUAAAUGAAAUUACCCUUAAUUAUUACUUAAUGCUUAUUCCUAAACCUUAUUCACAUUGUUAAGUAAGUACUACAGACCCUUUUUACCAAGAUACUAAUUCGUUCUUUUAACUAGAAUAAUAGCUCUUCAAAAUACUCUCAUACUUUCAAGUCAGUUUAUAUUAAAGUGCUUAGUCAUUAAUUAUUUUUAGUCACCUGAAUUCAGAAGUUACAUAAAUUCCUUUGGAGAAGUAGUUCCCAAAUACGAGCAGCUUAUGUCCAUAAAGGCCAGAUCUCUGUUUUUGCUGCAAUCAUCAAGAAUUUCACUUCCUAUUUUCAAGACUUGACUGCUGAAGCGUAGAACUGACUAGUGCAAAUGCUUAGGCACAAGUUUGAUUGAGAUGCAUACAUUCUUUUCUGUGCAGAGGCAAUACAAUGGCAUAUCACUUAAUCCACCAGUAGGCAUUCCAGAAAGCCUUAAGAAGGAGCAUGUCUGUGAAACAUUUGGCAAAAGAACAAAACAAAGGAUUCCAUAUCCUGUUUUACAGCAUAGUGCAAUCAAAAACAAUUGUCCAACAUGUUUUUGUAGAGUAUACUUAAAACCAACAGAGCUUAAGCAUUAGUUCUGUUGAUACUUGGCGCACCUCCACAAUUCUACUUCAGGUAAUGUAAGGCUUGAGCAGUAUACCACCCAGCAACAAUAGCUAGUAUGUUGCUUCAUCCAUGUUGUCAUCACUGCCAGCACCAAAGUCGUCUCC